UGUGUAGUUGCCUGUCAGCACUAUUUUGUAUAGCGUCACAUUUCGUUUGUUCAUUUUGUUGGUUUGUUCGGUGUUCAUUCAAAGAGAAUGUACGCAUCCAUGCUGCGCCUUGGUCUCAUUCUAACUACGGACGUGCCAAGUGCACACCUGCGCUUCAACUGUUGAACUUGAGGUCUUGGCAACUGGGCGGCUCGGCUGCCAUGAUGGCCUUGGCGCCGUGCAUUAUAGGAAGGAACUUGCAGUGCAACUCACCUCGGGUCUCCUUCCAGCACCGCACCGAUGCCAGCUGCUUCUUCUCAAUGUUCCGCUCUGACACCGACAGCUCUAGAGUCUGGGACAGAGCAUAAGGAGUAGUCGUAUGGCUGUGGGUGGUCGUACCUCCUGCACUAGAAGCCCCUCCUGCAUGUAGCAUGUAUCUAUGGUCUUGAGGAGCUCCAUGGUCUUAUACUGGCCCUGACACGUCUUCCGCUUGUCCUGGGAGCCCAACAUGCACUUCAACAAUACCAGGCCCACCCGGAAAUUGAUCUUCAAUCCUGGACGAUCACACACCAGACAGCAGUGGUGUAAAGUGCCUAAGUAAAAAUGUAAACAACAACAUUUCAAAUUUAGCUACUUACAGUUUUUUACAAUCACACACUAAAAGUGGUAUUUGAGGCACACUCAGAGAAACAAUUCACUCAUGUACCUAAUCUUCAAACCAAGUCUGCAAAACUGCAAGCACAAUAUCUGCUUUACACUCAGUUUGCAAUUGUAAAACACACUUUUUGCAAAACACUAGUUCUCUAUAUUAGACACUUUGUUCAAAACUAACAGGUCUUGUGCUUCAUUUGGAAAGUACUGUCAUUCCAAAUGCCACACUCAUUUACCCAUUACCUACACCCAGUGCUGACGUGUGAAAACACUUAUAGCUAAUAUCUUCACUAAGAAAUCAGAGGUUGAGCACUAUAAAUAUGCUUCAGGUUGUCUUUCUUGGUUUGGACAACAAUGGAGGCCAAUUUUGGAGAGCGAGUUAGAGGAGCGAGAGUAAGAGGGGGAGGAGGAUGAGGACAAGGAGGAGGAAGAGGAUAAGGAGGAGGCCUGUGGUGACAUAGACGAGGGGGCAUGCCAGGGCUGGAUACGCCACUCCAGACACUGCUUCCCCCGCUGUUUAGCCAGAGAGAACAUCGCUUGUGAUGUUUAUGAUGUGCUGUGGCCAGACAAAAAUAGGAGACAGGAUGCACCCUAACGGCUUUUUUUUUAUAUCAACAAGCCUAUUUGGUUGUCUCCUACUGUAUUUGUUUUGUCUGUUACUGUUCAUCCUGAAAUCUGGAUGAAAAUACAAUGUUUUGAGAAAUAAAUACAUUACAUUUUUUCCACCUUAGAUUUCUAUUUAUAG
Long non-coding RNA from Oncorhynchus mykiss (rainbow trout), 1375 nucleotides. RefSeq lists it as uncharacterized. The record is from RefSeq and is a predicted model, not a curated record. Lineage: Eukaryota; Metazoa; Chordata; Actinopteri; Salmoniformes; Salmonidae.